UUUAAGUGCAACCAUGAGUUUCCGUGCCCAAUUUUGAUCGUCUGUCUUAUUUGAAAUUUUUUUAUAAUUAGUAUUUUUUGUUGUUAUGAGAUGAUAAAACAUGAAUAGUACUUUAUGUGUGUCUUAUAUUUUUUAAAUUUUCUCAAUUUUUUUUAAAUAAGACGGAUGAUUAAAAUUGAGCACGGGAAAACAUGGAUGCACUUAAA
Oryza rufipogon (brownbeard rice) is the source of this 206-nucleotide microRNA precursor. It matches the Rfam family "MIR812 microRNA precursor family". Lineage: Eukaryota; Viridiplantae; Streptophyta; Magnoliopsida; Poales; Poaceae. The record is from Rfam.